RNAcentral lists this ribosomal RNA (1012 nucleotides) under Hyaloperonospora thlaspeos-arvensis. RNAcentral's name for it is "LSU rRNA". It matches the Rfam family "Eukaryotic large subunit ribosomal RNA", at positions 49 to 852 of the family's 3401-position model. The record is from RNAcentral. Lineage: Eukaryota; Oomycota; Peronosporomycetes; Peronosporales; Peronosporaceae.
AGCGGAGGAAAAGAAACUAACAAGGAUUCCCCUAGUAACGGCGAGUGAAGCGGGAUGAGCUCAAGCUUAAAAUCUCUGUCACAAAUUUAUUUUGUGCGGCGAAUUGUAGUCUAUAGAGGCGUGGUCAGUGUGGGCGCUUGAGAUAAGUUCCUUGAAAGAGGACAGCAUGGAGGGUGAUACUCCCGUUUAUUCUUGAGUGGCUUAUGCGUAAGACCCGUUUUCUUUGAGUCGCGUUGUUUGAGAAUGCAGCGCAAAGUAGGUGGUAAAUUCCAUCUAAAGCUAAAUAUUGGUGCGAGACCGAUAGCGAACAAGUACCGUGAGGGAAAGAUGAAAAGAACUUUGAAAAGAGAGUUAAAGAGUACCUGAAACUGCUGAAAGGGAACCGGAUCGUUUCUAGUGUCUAUAAUCUGUGACAUAUUUCAUCGGAGAGUGUGUGCGUGUGUAUACUAUGGCAGCGGCUAUUUUUUGGCUGCGCUUGGUGUGUGUGCUGUGUGCGCUUACUGGUGCCCUGUGUUGCGGUGGGACGUCAAGGUCGGUUUGUAUACUGCGGGAAAUGGCUACUGAGGAGGUAGGGCUUACGCUUGCGUUUGUCUAUUAUAUCUUGGUGGUUGUGUCGUGGUUGAGACUGAGGUGUCUACAACGUGUUUUUGAGUGAGACUGUGUCUCCGUGUGCACCGUGUGCGGAUAGCUUGCUAUGUGUGUGUGGUUGUGUGUGGAUUGAUGCGGACUUUAACUUGUGACCGUUCGGGACGUUGACGAAAUAGAGCGAUUUGACCCGUCUUGAAACACGGACCAAGGAGUCUAACAUGUGUGCAAGUGUUAGGGUGUGGAAACCCCAGCGCGAAAUGAAAGUAAAGGAUAGUGUAAACUGUCUGAGGUAGGAAACGUUGCGGAUUUCGGUCUGUGGCGUGGCACUAUCGACCGAUCAUGAACCCUCGUGGUGAAAGAUUUGAGUUUGAGCACAUAUGUUGGUACCCGAAAGAUGGUGAACUAUGCCUGAGUAGGGUGAAGC